Molecule: long non-coding RNA, 653 nt
Organism: Anastrepha ludens (Mexican fruit fly)
Lineage: Eukaryota; Metazoa; Arthropoda; Insecta; Diptera; Tephritidae
Exons: 3
Source: RefSeq, a predicted model, not a curated record
UCUCACGUAACAGACGUUAAGAAAACGGAAAAAGUAACACAAUAACGGUACUAAAUAAUGAAAGUAAAAGUGAUUCAAUGAAUUUGAAUUCAAAAAUAUACUAAACAAAUGCAAGUGGAAUCAGGAAAACGCAUAUUAGCAACAACAACAAGUACACAGAAAAUAAGAAAGAACAGCAAAUUGUGUGCGCGUGUGUGUGGAUGGUGCUAAUGCAGUGGAGCAACAGUGAAUAUUAAAAGUAGCUACAAUUCGCACAAAAGCCAAAAAACAACAACAACAAAAGCAGCACUUUAAAAUCUUCUUAACAGCAAAGCUGAUUGCGCAUUUGUUCAGCACCGUGGGUGCCUUGAGCAGUACUGGAGUGUCAUUAAAACGUCGACUACUCUACAUAAUUUGGCGCUUCACUUUGCUUAAUGCACCAUAAUUAGUUGUGCUAAGUGUAAACAACAAAACAUAAAAAAAAACAACAAAAAAAUAAAAUAAAAUAAAAAGCAACAAAAAGUGCAGCAGUCACACUGAAUUGUUUUUUACAAAGUUGUUGUCGUUCACCAUCAUAAGCUGUAAUCUUUCCCCAUUGGGGACGUGGAUAUUGUAGUUGUGUUUUAAAAACGAGUCGCUGGCAUCAACCUGUAAGUGUUGCUGUUGUGGUAAAU